This 406-nucleotide ribosomal RNA is filed under the name uncultured bacterium. Its description in RNAcentral is "partial 16S ribosomal RNA". It matches the Rfam family "Bacterial small subunit ribosomal RNA", at positions 30 to 526 of the family's 1533-position model. The record is from RNAcentral.
AUUGAACGCUGGCGGCAGGCCUAACACAUGCAAGUCGAACGAGUGGCGGACGGGUGAGUAAUGUCUGGGAAACUGCCUGAUGGAGGGGGAUAACUACUGGAAACGGUAGCUAAUCCCGCAUACCAUCGGAUGUGCCCAGAUGGGAUUAGCUAGUAGGUGGGGUAAAGGCUCACCUAGGCGACGUUACCUAGCUGGUCUGAGAGGAUGACUAGCCACACGGGAACUGAGACACGGUCCAGACUCCUACGGGAGGCAGCAGUGGGGAAUAUUGCACAAGGGGCGCAAGCCUGAGGCAGCCAUGCCGAGUGUAUGAAGAAGGCCUUCGGGUUGUAAAGUACUUGCAGCGGGGAGGCGUUACCCGCAGAAGAAGCACCGGCUAACUCCGUGCCAGCAGCCGCGGUAAUUC